GAUUUUUUUUUUCAUAUUUUCGCAGGCGGAAGAAAACCCUUCAGAUCGAUGAUCUCAGUAUAGAAAUCACAGUUGUAAUCUUUUCUUCUUUGGUUUUGCAAAAACCUUUCGUUAGGGUUUUCGUUCAUUUGUAAUGGAGCCUCGUGUGGGUAACAAGUUUCGACUUGGUCGCAAAAUUGGUAGUGGAUCGUUUGGUGAGAUCUAUCUUGGUACUAAUAUUCAGACUAAUGAAGAAGUGGCAAUUAAGCUGGAAAAUAAUAAGACAAAGCAUCCACAGUUGCUAUAUGAAUCAAAGUUGUAUAGGAUUCUUCAGGGAGGAACUGGAAUUCCAAACGUGAGGUGGUUUGGCGUGGAGGGAGAUUACAAUGUUCUGGUCAUGGAUUUACUAGGACCCAGUCUUGAAGAUCUAUUUAAUUUUUGCAGCAGGAAGCUUUCCCUGAAGACAGUUUUAAUGCUUGCUGAUCAAAUGAUAAAUCGUGUUGAAUUUGUUCAUUCUAAAUCAUUUUUG
Molecule: unclassified non-coding RNA, 508 nt
Filed under: Hevea brasiliensis (rubber tree)
Lineage: Eukaryota; Viridiplantae; Streptophyta; Magnoliopsida; Malpighiales; Euphorbiaceae
Source: RNAcentral